UACGUAGGGUGCGAGCGUUAAUCGGAAUUACUGGGCGUAAAGUGUGCGCAGGCGGCCAUGCAAGUCGAGUGUGAAAGCCCCGGGCUUAACUUGGGAAUUGCGGUCGAAACUACGUGGCUGGAGUGUGGCAGAGGAAGGUGGAAUUCCACGUGUAGCGGUGAAAUGCGUAGAGAUGUGGAGGAACACCAAUGGCGAAGGCAGCCUUCUGGGCCAACACUGACGCUCAUGCACGAAAGCGUGGGGAGCAAACAGG
RNAcentral lists this ribosomal RNA (253 nucleotides) under uncultured bacterium. Its description in RNAcentral is "partial 16S ribosomal RNA". It matches the Rfam family "Bacterial small subunit ribosomal RNA", at positions 524 to 776 of the family's 1533-position model. The record is from RNAcentral.